RNAcentral lists this ribosomal RNA (252 nucleotides) under uncultured bacterium. RNAcentral describes it as "partial 16S ribosomal RNA". It matches the Rfam family "Bacterial small subunit ribosomal RNA", at positions 524 to 776 of the family's 1533-position model. The record is from RNAcentral.
UACGUAGGGUGCAAGCGUUAAUCGGAAUUACUGGGCGUAAAGCGUGCGCAGGCGGUUUUGUAAGUCUGUCGUGAAAUCCCCGGGCUCAACCUGGGAAUUGCGAUGGAGACUGCAAGGCUGGAGUCUGGCAGAGGGGGUAGAAUUCCACGUGUAGCAGUGAAAUGCGUAGAGAUGUGGAGGAACACCGAUGGCGAAGGCAGCCCCCUGGGUCAAGACUGACGCUCAUGCACGAAAGCGUGGGGAGCAAACAGG